CAUUUUUUUUAAUUGAGUUCUGUAGCAAGGGAAGGUAGAAGCUGCAAGAAUGAUUGGCAGGUCUUGAGACUUAGAAUCGUAUAUGAGCUGGUUGGGUCAGAGUUCCAAAGGGGCAGUUUUCCAACUGACUUAGUCUGGAGCUGAAAGUGAAGAAGGAAGAUGUGUAGCUGAGACUCCCUGAACAAACCACCUAUCAAGCAACUGGCCUUUGAGGAUCAACUGGCUGAGGGUGAAAGGAAAAUCACCAGUCUUCCUGGUGGACAGAUUGACUGGGGGAAAGACCUCUACCUUGCUGGACCAUCUGAGGACACCACAACUUGAAUUCCUGAUAUCUGCCCAACCACUGACUCUCUUGAAAAAAUACAAAUAUCACCUACAUAAGAAAAAACUCAGGAAGGAAAUAUAGUGAAGAAUGGCAUACAGCAAUCUGCAUUCAGACUCUAUCCGUUCCUUCUAUGGCGGUGGAUAUUUUUUUUUCUUCCUCAUGAGUCCCUUGGAGUUGUCCUGGAUUCUUGCACUGCUGAUGAUAGUUGUUAUUCUCAGAUGAAGAACCUGAGGCCCAAGGAAAUUAAGUAAUUUGCCUAAGAUCACAGAACUAUGAAGCAUCAGAGAUAAGACAUCAGCCCAGAGCUUCUGUGCCUAAGCUGAAAUAAAUGGGAAAACAUCCAGCCA
RNAcentral lists this long non-coding RNA (672 nucleotides) under Monodelphis domestica (gray short-tailed opossum). RNAcentral's name for it is "lncRNA (ENSMODG00000045344.1)". The record is from RNAcentral. Lineage: Eukaryota; Metazoa; Chordata; Mammalia; Didelphimorphia; Didelphidae.